Non-coding RNA from Leucoraja erinaceus (little skate), 73 nucleotides. The record is from the annotation of a RefSeq genome assembly. NCBI's taxonomy places the organism in Eukaryota, Metazoa, Chordata, Chondrichthyes, Rajiformes, Rajidae.
GCCCAGCGAGCUCAGUCGGUGGAGUAUGAGACUCUUAAUCUCAGGGUCAUGGGUUCAAGACCCACGCUGGGCG